UCUCAGGUCUUAUAAUAUGUAGGUAA
This 26-nucleotide small RNA is filed under the name Bombyx mori (domestic silkworm). Its description in RNAcentral is "ovarian small RNA-29584". The record is from RNAcentral. Lineage: Eukaryota; Metazoa; Arthropoda; Insecta; Lepidoptera; Bombycidae.